Molecule: ribosomal RNA, 571 nt
Filed under: Arthropoda environmental sample
Lineage: Eukaryota; Metazoa; Arthropoda
Description: SSU rRNA
Rfam family: Eukaryotic small subunit ribosomal RNA
Source: RNAcentral
UGCCAGUAGUCAUAUGCUUGUCUCAAAGAUUAAGCCAUGCAUGUCUCAGUACAAGCCAAAUUAAGGUGAAACCGCGAAAGGCUCAUUAUAUCAGUUAUGGUUCCUUAGAUCGUACCCACAUUUACUUGGAUAACUGUGGUAAUUCUAGAGCUAAUACAUGCAAACAGAGUUCCGACCAGAGAUGGAAGGAAUGCUUUUAUUAGAUCAAAACCAAUCGGUGUAAAUUUUAAUUUGCAUCGUUUAAUUUGGUGACUCUGAAUAACUUUAAGCUGAUCGCACGGUCUCGUACCGGCGACGCAUCUUUCAAAUGUCUGCCUUAUCAACUGUCGAUGGUAGGUUCUGCGCCUACCAUGGUUGUAACGGGUAACGGGGAAUCAGGGUUCGAUUCCGGAGAGGGAGCCUGAGAAACGGCUACCACAUCCAAGGAAGGCAGCAGGCGCGCAAAUUACCCACUCUCGGCACGGGGAGGUAGUGACGAAAAAUAACGAUACGGGACUCAUCCGAGGCCCCGUAAUCGGAAUGAGUACACUUUAAAUCCUUUAACGAGGAUCCAUUGGAGGACAAGUCUGGU